Bos taurus (domestic cattle) is the source of this 1868-nucleotide long non-coding RNA. The record is from Ensembl. Lineage: Eukaryota; Metazoa; Chordata; Mammalia; Artiodactyla; Bovidae.
AUCCCUUUUUGGUUGUUGAGCUGGUCUGAAUUGGUCUGUUUCUUCCCACCGCGUGCUUUCCUGCUUGGUGACUGAGUUUGAAUGCCUUAGCUUGAGAGUUGGCAUCCUGUGUCUUUUGCUGUCUUUUGUUGAGCAGUAGUCUCUGGCUUUUUGUUUUGGAAGUCUCUCCUCAGAUCCCAUAUGUUGACAUUUUUUCCCUGAAGUCAGCUCCGAUGAUUUUGCUCCUUUCAGACCUUGGCAAUGUGGUCCAGGGUUGAACACUAUAGAUGUCUCACUUUGAAGCUCAGUCCCUGAAUUUAACUUAGAAGACUCCAUACCUUGAAAUUUUGAAACUGAAGUUAAUUCAGAAGAGCUUGUACCUUGCAAAUGUGACCCAGGCUUGCAUCCAGUUGGAUUUACACACUGAAGUUUUGGUUCUGAAAUGAAUGCAGAAGAAUUCACACCUUGCAAAUCUGGCCCAACGCAGAGCACCUUAGAUUUUCUACCUUGAAGCUCCGUACUGGGAUUCAACUCUGAAGAUUUUUUAUCUUGCACUUGUGACCCAGUGUUGAAUGGUAUAUAAUUCACACAUUGAAGUUGUGGCCCUGGCUUCAGUUUAGAGCAUCUCCCACCUUGUAAUUUAGGCUCAUGGUUGAAUUCCAGCAAUUUCUCAUCUGAAAGCUUAGUUUCUGUGCUCAACUCAGAUUUUACCUCUUGCAACUGUGGUCCAGGAUUGAACUCUAAAGAUUGAAUACCUUGGUGACUUGUUCCCAGACUCAAAUCAGAAGAUUUCAUAUCUUGUAGCUGUUGGUCAGGAUUGAAUUCCAAAGAUUUCACAUUUUUAAGCUUUGUCCUUUUGCAUGAUUCUGAAGAUUUUAUACGUUGUGAAUGUGUCCUAGGACUGAACACCAUGACUUUUACAUUUUGAAGCUCUUCCCAUGGAUUCAACUUACACGAUUUCUCAUCUUGCUUUUGCUUUCUAGCAUUGCUCUUAGACGAUAUCCCACUGUGAAUCUUUGAUUCCAAGGCCAACUUACAGAAUUUUGCAACCUGAAAUUCUAGGCUAGGACUGACUUCUAUAGAGUUCAUCAAUUGAAGCUUUAUAGGCCCAGAAGAUUUUGCACCUUGCAACUCUGCCACAGGGUUGAAUUCCAUAGAUUUCACACCUUGAAGGUGUGCCUUUGAUGUCAACAUAGAUAAUUUUCUAUCUUGUAACUGUGGAGCUGAGUUGAACCCCAAAGAUUUCACAUCUUGUACCUUUGUACCAAGAGUCAAUUCAAAAGGUUUCAUAUCUUGCCACAUUGGCCUGGUGAUGAAUUCUAUAGAUUCUCCACUUUGAAGCUUUGUCUUUGGUGUUAACUCUGAGGAUGUCACACCUUGCAGACAUGGAACAACAGAUUUCAAAUCUUGAAGCCUCCACCCUAGCCCCAAAUCAGAUUUCUCACCCUGUCUCUGUGGUUGAGGGUUGAACUCCAGUGAUUUCACACCUUGAAGUUCCCUCUUCUGGGUUAAAUCAGAUUUCCCACAUUGUAACUUCAGUCCAUGAUUGAACUCUAAGAAUUUUUCAUCUUGAAGCUUUGUCCCUUGAAUCAAUUCAGAACAUUUUUUACUUUGUAUCUGUGGUUCAGAGUUGAACAUUGAUUGUGCUUCCUGAAGCAUUGUCCCUAAGACCGCUUCAGAAGAUUUCAUACUUUGAAAGUGUGGUCUAGAAUUUAACCCUUUAGAUUUUACAUCUUGAAGCUUUAGACCCAUAAUCAGUUCAGAACAUUUCAUAUCUUUUAAGUGUUGGCCGGAGUCUGACUCUACUGAUCUCACAACUGGAAUCUUUCUCCUCAGAGUCAAAUCAGAUUUUGCACCUUGUAACUUUGGACUAGGUUUCAGGUCUAGAG